CCUACGGGUGGCAGCAGUGGGGAAUAUUGGACAAUGGGCGAAAGCCUGAUCCAGCCAUGCCGCGUGUGUGAAGAAGGCCUUCGGGUUGUAAAGCACUUUCAGUGGGGAAGAAAGCCUUGGGGCUAAUACCCUCGAGGAAGGACAUCACCCACAGAAGAAGCACCGGCUAACUCCGUGCCAGCAGCCGCGGUAAUACGGAGGGUGCGAGCGUUAAUCGGAAUUACUGGGCGUAAAGCGCGCGUAGGCGGUCUGAUAAGCCGGUUGUGAAAGCCCCGGGCUCAACCUGGGAACGGCAUCCGGAACUGUCAGGCUAGGGGGCAGGAGAGGAAGGUAGAAUUCCCGGUGUAGCGGUGAAAUGCGUAGAGAUCGGGAGGAAUACCAGUGGCGAAGGCGGCCUUCUGGACUGACACUGACGCUGAGGUGCGAAAGCGUGGGUAGCAAACAGGAUUAGAUACCCGGGUAGC
Molecule: ribosomal RNA, 464 nt
Filed under: Vreelandella stevensii
Lineage: Bacteria; Pseudomonadati; Pseudomonadota; Gammaproteobacteria; Oceanospirillales; Halomonadaceae
Description: partial 16S ribosomal RNA
Rfam family: Bacterial small subunit ribosomal RNA
Source: RNAcentral